This 501-nucleotide ribosomal RNA is filed under the name uncultured bacterium. RNAcentral describes it as "partial 16S ribosomal RNA". It matches the Rfam family "Bacterial small subunit ribosomal RNA", at positions 30 to 523 of the family's 1533-position model. The record is from RNAcentral.
AUUGAACGCUGGCGGCAGGCUUAAUACAUGCAAGUCGAGCGGGGGAAGGUAGCUUGCUACUGGACCUAGCGGCGGACGGGUGAGUAAUGCUUAGGAAUCUGCCUAUUAGUGGGGGACAACAUCUCGAAAGGGAUGCUAAUACCGCAUACGUCCUACGGGAGAAAGCAGGGGAUCUUCGGACCUUGCGCUAAUAGAUGAGCCUAAGUCGGAUUAGCUAGUUGGUGGGGUAAAGGCCUACCAAGGCGACGAUCUGUAGCGGGUCUGAGAGGAUGAUCCGCCACACUGGGACUGAGACACGGCCCAGACGCCUACGGGAGGCAGCAGUGGGGAAUAUUGGACAAUGGGGGGAACCCUGAUCCAGCCAUGCCGCGUGUGUGAAGAAGGCCUUAUGGUUGUAAAGCACUUUAAGCGAGGAGGAGGCUACUCUAGUUAAUACCUAGGGAUAGUGGACGUUACUCGCAGAAUAAGCACCGGCUAACUCUGUGCCAGCCGCCGCGGUAA